GAUGAACGCUGGCGGCGUGCCUAAUACAUGCAAGUCGAGCGAACAGACGAGGAGCUUGCUCCUCUGACGUUAGCGGCGGACGGGUGAGUAACACGUGUAUAACCUACCUAUAUGUCUGGGAUAACUUCGGGAAACCGGAGCUAAUACCGGAUAACAUGCUGAACCGCAUUGUUCAAUAGUGAAAGACGGUCUUGCUGUCACUUAUAGAUGGAUCCGCGCCGCAUUAGCUAGUUGGUAAGGUAACGGCUUACCAAGGCUACGAUGCGUAGCCGACCUGAGAGGGUGAUCGGCCACACUGGAACUGAGACACGGUCCAGACUCCUACGGGAGGCAGCAGUAGGGAAUCUUCCGCAAUGGGCGAAAGCCUGACGGAGCAACGCCGCGUGAGUGAAGAAGGUCUUCGGAUCGUAAAGCCCUGUUAUUGGGGAAGAACAAAUGUGGAAGUAAAUAUGCACGUCUUGACGGUACCUAAUCAGAAAGCAACGGCUAACUACGUG
RNAcentral lists this ribosomal RNA (497 nucleotides) under uncultured bacterium. RNAcentral's name for it is "partial 16S ribosomal RNA". It matches the Rfam family "Bacterial small subunit ribosomal RNA", at positions 28 to 507 of the family's 1533-position model. The record is from RNAcentral.